RNAcentral lists this ribosomal RNA (663 nucleotides) under uncultured Actinomycetes bacterium. RNAcentral describes it as "bacterial SSU rRNA". It matches the Rfam family "Bacterial small subunit ribosomal RNA", at positions 58 to 716 of the family's 1533-position model. Lineage: Bacteria; Bacillati; Actinomycetota; Actinomycetes. The record is from RNAcentral.
CAAGUCGAACGGGAUCCAUUGGUGCUUGCACUUUUGGUGAGAGUGGCGAACGGGUGAGUAACACGUGAGUAACCUGCCCUUUUCUUUGGGAUAAGCCUGGGAAACUGGGUCUAAUACUGGAUGUUCCGGCUUCCUCGCAUGGGGUUGUUGGGAAAGGUUUUUUCUGGAUUGGGAUGGGCUCGCGGCUUAUCAGCUUGUUGGUGGGGUGAUGGCUUACCAAGGCUUUGACGGGUAGCCGGCCUGAGAGGGUGGUCGGUCACACUGGGACUGAGAUACGGCCCAGACUCCUACGGGAGGCAGCAGUGGGGGAUAUUGCACAAUGGACGCAAGUCUGAUGCAGCGACGUCGUGUGGGGGAUGAAGGCCUUCGGGUUGUAAACUCCUUUCGCCUGCGGAAAAGGCAGGGUUUUGGCCUUGUUGAUGGUAGUGGGUAAAGAAGCGCCGGCUAACUACGUGCCAGCAGCCGCGGUAAUACGUAGGGCGCGAGCGUUGUCCGGAAUUAUUGGGCGUAAAGGGCUCGUAGGCGGUUUGUCGCGUCUAGCGUUUAAGGCUCGGGCUUAACCCGGGUUUGCGUUGGGUACGGGCAGGCUUGAGUGCGGUAGGGGUAACUGGAAUUCCUGGUGUAGCGGUGGAAUGCGCAGAUAUCAGGAGGAACACCGGUGGC